This 102-nucleotide small nuclear RNA is filed under the name Moschus moschiferus (Siberian musk deer). The record is from RNAcentral. Lineage: Eukaryota; Metazoa; Chordata; Mammalia; Artiodactyla; Moschidae.
GUGCUCGCUUUGGCAGCACAUAUAGUAAAAAUUGGAAUACAGAGAUUAGCAUGACUCCUGUGCAAGGAUGACACGCAAAGUCGUGAAUUGUUCCAUAUUUUU